AGAGUUGAUCCUGGCUCAGGAUGAACGCUAGCUACAGGCUUAACACAUGCAAGUCGAGGGCAGCAUGAUCAAGCUUGCUUGAUGAUGGCGACCGGCGCACGGGUGAGUAACGCGUAUCCAACCUUCCCUAUAGUAGUGGAUAGCCCGGCGAAAGUCGGAUUAAUACACUAUGUUGUAUUUAGAGGACAUCUGAAGAAUACCAAAGGUUUACCGCUAUAGGAUGGGGAUGCGUCUGAUUAGAUAGUAGGCGGGGUAACGGCCCACCUAGUCGACGAUCAGUAGGGGUUCUGAGAGGAAGGUCCCCCACAUUGGAACUGAGACACGGUCCAAACUCCUACGGGAGGCAGCAGUGAGGAAUAUUGGUCAAUGGACGGGAGUCUGAACCAGCCAAGUAGCGUGCAGGAUGACGGCCCUAUGGGUUGUAAACUGCUUUUAUACGGGGAUAAAGUGAGCCACGUGUGGCUUUUUGUAGGUACCGUAUGAAUAAGGACCGGCUAAUUCCGUGCCAGCAGCUGC
RNAcentral lists this ribosomal RNA (516 nucleotides) under uncultured bacterium. RNAcentral describes it as "bacterial SSU rRNA". It matches the Rfam family "Bacterial small subunit ribosomal RNA", at positions 8 to 518 of the family's 1533-position model. The record is from RNAcentral.